AGUAAAAGUCGUAACAAGGUCUCCGUAGGUGAACCUGCGGAGGGAUCAUUACAAGUGACCCCGGUUUACCACCGGGAUGUUCAUAACCCUUUGUUGUCCGACUCUGUUGCCUCCGGGGCGACCCUGCCUUCGGGCGGGGGCUCCGGGUGGACACUUCAAACUCUUGCGUAACUUUGCAGUCUGAGUAAACUUAAUUAAUAAAUUAAAACUUUUAACAACGGAUCUCUUGGUUCUGGCAUCGAUGAAGAACGCAGCGAAAUGCGAUAAGUAAUGUGAAUUGCAGAAUUCAGUGAAUCAUCGAAUCUUUGAACGCACAUUGCGCCCCCUGGUAUUCCGGGGGGCAUGCCUGUUCGAGCGUCAUUUCACCACUCAAGCCUCGCUUGGUAUUGGGCAACGCGGUCCGCCGCGUGCCUCAAAUCGACCGGCUGGGUCUUCUGUCCCCUAAGCGUUGUGGAAACUAUUCGCUAAAGGGUGCUCGGGAGGCUACGCCGUAAAACAACCCCAUUCCUAAGGUUGACCUCGGAUCAGGUAGGGAUACCCGCUGAACUUAAGCAUAUCAAUAAGCGGAGGAAAAGAAACCAACAGGGAUUGCCCUAGUAACG
RNAcentral lists this ribosomal RNA (602 nucleotides) under uncultured fungus. RNAcentral's name for it is "eukaryotic LSU rRNA". The stretch from base 207 to 360 matches the Rfam family "5.8S ribosomal RNA". The record is from RNAcentral. Lineage: Eukaryota; Fungi.